GCUUGUCUCAAAGAUUAAGCCAUGCAUGUCUAAGUAUAAACAACUUUAUACUGUAAAACUGCGAACGGCUCAUUAUAUCAGCAAUAAUUUAUUUGAUGGUUUCUUACCCCAUGGAUAACUGUGGUAAUUCUAGAGCUAAUACAUGCGUAAAGUCCCGACUCUUUCUGGGGAGGGAUGUAUUUAUUAGAUAACAGACCAAUAUUCCUCGUGUCUAUUGUGGUGAAUCAUAGUAACUGAUCGGAUCGCAUGGGCUACGCCCGCGACAAACCAUUCAAGUUUCUGCCCCAUCAGCUUUCGAUGGUAGUGUAUUGGACUACCAUGGCUUUUACGGGUAACGGAGGAUUAGGGUUCGAUUCCGGAGAGGGAGCCUGAGAAACGGCUACCACAUCUAAGGAAGGCAGCAGG
This 405-nucleotide ribosomal RNA is filed under the name uncultured Strobilidiidae. RNAcentral describes it as "partial small subunit ribosomal RNA". It matches the Rfam family "Eukaryotic small subunit ribosomal RNA", at positions 30 to 432 of the family's 1831-position model. The record is from RNAcentral. Lineage: Eukaryota; Ciliophora; Spirotrichea; Choreotrichida; Strobilidiidae.